CUCUCUCUUCCUCCCUCCAACCAUAUCCUUCUCUAUAUAAUCCUCUGGUAUCCCUCCCCUCCCUAAUCGCUCCAAACACACAAAAACUUCUUUGUUCUCAGGUCACAAACAUGAUGAAAUCUUCACUCUUUGGUUGCUUCUUUCUCCUCUUUGUUUCUCUAAAUUUCUUCUCUGAGGAUCUCGGGAUCUUCGUACAUGCCGGGUCAUCCUUUUCUUUCUCCUCCUCGGGCGAAGGGCGCCAGUCUCAACUAUACGUUCAAUCACCUUCUUUCCACAGGAAGUUUAAGCGCUUCUACAGAUCAAAGGUUGUGGUUGAAGAAGCAAAGGGAUCGGAUGCCCUUGUGAGUACUUUGAAGCCCGAAUUCUCAAGAGGAAGCGGCAUCAAAAAUUUUGAUGAUUUAGUGUAUCAUACCGACUACCAUGGAGUCGUUACUCAUCCGCCUACCCCAAAGCACCCAAACCAUGAUUAAAAGGCGUUGUGAGGCAGAAGUUUUCUGCUGUUGACACGGUAGAGAUACAGUUUCAGAGAUCUUAUAGAAAGGAAAAUUCCAGUCUUUAGUUCUCUAUGCUUGGUGGGGUUGGCUAUAUACAUCUUUGAAAUUGCAGAUCGAAAUAUGUGUUUCACUUUGAGUUUCUACUAUCUGUAAAAGAAAUUCGUACUUAUUAAUAGGGACAUAUAUAUACGUAUCGACCUAUCACACA
Punica granatum (pomegranate) is the source of this 702-nucleotide non-coding RNA. Lineage: Eukaryota; Viridiplantae; Streptophyta; Magnoliopsida; Myrtales; Lythraceae. The record is from RefSeq and is a predicted model, not a curated record.